GUGCGGCGCAGACGGUCGCCCAAUGGAGUUGUCUUUCAGGAGGUUUUAACUUGGUAAUGCCUGCCCUCCUCAAAUGUCCUUAGUCUCCUCAACUCUAGCCCUCCACCGCUUUCUCCCUGGGGUUCUGAAGAGCCGGCGCCCCCUUGUCUGUCUGCGGCCAGGCGCCGCACCCUGCCCUUCCCGCGGGAGCGGUUCCGGUCACCCUCAGGGGUGCGGCCCCUGCGUGCUAGUCCUGCAAAGCGCUGAUUGGCCGGCGGCUCGGUUGCCUCGCGUCCCAGCGCCAGCUGGGCCUAGGGCCAAGGUCUCGGGAAGCGCCGGGUGACCUCGCUCCUCUCGGAGCCGCGGGCGCUGGGUCACCCGCCAGCCGGGCUCCGCGGGCCGCGAGGGAUUGUGGGUGUUCCCCAGGCGCGUGUCCUGGAACCGGGUGUUAAAUAUUCAGAUCCGUGCGCCCCGCGUGAAGGGUGGAAAGGCACGGCCCCCAGGCUCUGGGGCUUGGAGAUUGGUUGCAAAUGAAAGACUGAAAGCUGGAGUGAAUCUGCCUAUUAUUUUUAUUCCCAGCAACAGCUGACCCCAGAUACAGUUUGUGGGGGUGGGGGGCGUUACUGCAGGGCAGGGCAGUGCACUGUUAACGUACUUCGUUUAUUGAGUUAAAAUCUCUUGUAAAUGUUAUAAAUGAGGAUUUUGCCAAUAAGCAGAAGGUCAAAUUUCAUUUUGACAAAUGAUUUAAUUAAAUAAUGCGGUGAAAAGUGCUUUUUGUUUAAAUUCUUUGCUUUUUGUUUAAAUUCUUUGAUUCUGAUCAUUAUUUUUUAAAGUGCAUUGCUUUUGGGAUAACAUCAGAAACUAUCUGUAAAAAGAAUUAGUAUCACGAAUGCCUCCCUCUUAAGAAUAUAAAAUGUUUUACAGGCCAGCAGUGAUGGUGCUGCAGCUACAAUUGCAUUUGAAGGUUAAUAAAUGGUAUUUUCAAAUAUUCAGGUCUUGGUUUGCAGCUCCUCUCUGCCCUCAGGGCUUUGGUCUCUGUCUUCAAUGUUUUCCUGGCAAUUCAAAACUCAGCGAUUUUAGAACAAUUCAUUAGGGACUUGAAAAUCACAGUCUAGUCUAUUUGAAUUCAAGAAGUGGAUCCCUUUCCGCUAGACUCACCCAUCAUUUUCAAGUGGUAAAAAAUCAAUCUCAGUAGACACUGCAGAGAAACAGGAAAAGAAACACAUGUAUCAACAUUGUAUACUUGGUUUUUUUGUUUUGUUUUGUUGUUGAGACGGAGUCUCGCUCUGUCGCCCAGGCUGGAGUGCAGUGGUGCUAUCUUGGUUCACUGCAACCUCCGCCUCCCAGGUUCAAGCGAUUCUCCUGCCUCAGCCUCCCGAGCAGUUGGGACUACAGGCAUGCGCCACCAUUCCCAGCUAAUUUUUGUAUUAGUAGAGAUGGGGUUUCACCAUGUUGGCCAUGCUGGUCUCGAACUCCUGACCUCAUGAUCCACCCGUCUCGGCUUCCCAAAGUGCUGGGACUACAGGGGUGAGCCACUGCGCCCAGCCUCCAAUCGCUAUCCUUUUAAAUCUUUUCCAUCCCUCACUCACACCUUAGAUGAUACCUUAACUUUCUGGUCCAUUUGAGUUACCAAAAAUCAGACCGUGUUAAAGUGUCGAUCUCAUGUCUCAAGUGGGACCCUAAAUCCCUUAGUGUGAGUGGGAAGGUGCAAAGCGUGGUUCUGGCAUGCAGACACUUCUCAACGUACCUCUGCAAGGCCUGGCUUCUGUGUUGAGAUAAGGAAGAGGAGAGAAAAUGAGACAAAUAUCUCUUAACUAGCCACUGCUGAAUUUUCUUAGUUGAUUCCUGCCUCUCUGGUAACUGUCUCGUUUAAAAUUCCUUUCGUGGGGUACAGAUGGGGAGGUCGGGUGGGGCCUUCUCCCUGCCGCACAGUUCCAUGGGAGAUCUUUUCCAUCACCCGCCCCCGCCGCCGUCAGCACCGGGCAGUACACUCAGCCUCUCAGGCAAGAUCACUCAGGACCAUUUAUCUUCCGCAUAGGAAGAAUUUGACCCAGGAGAAAUACACAUCUUUGCCACACAAAAGGGCUGGACUGAAGACCACCCCGUGGCUACUCCUCUCUCCCCUGCUAUAUCCCUCUUCAAUUUUGUUGUUCCCCCUUGCCAUACAGACAGGGAUAAGUCAGCAAGAGUGCUGGAGGAACAGAUCUGCAGGCAACAGAUAGAAUACCAGACUCCCCUUCCAGCAGGCCCUCUGAUACCUUGGAGAGAUUGUCCUAUGUCCUUCCCAGCUACAUCACUUCCCACCAGAAACACCGUCCUCCGCAAUACCGACUGCCUCCUUUCAUUCCUUCCCCUGCCUUCCUGUAUAGAUUGAGGAGAGGACUGGGGAAGUAUUUGGUGGAAGCGGGGCCAGAUCUGCAGCUUUUUAUUAAGCCCUGGGGGAAGUGGCCCCAAUUAUAGGCAUCUUUCAUUAGGAGAUGGAGUACUAUGCCUGUAGUUUUCCAUUGUGAGCCUAGUGCCAAUUCUGGGACAAUAGUAGAGGUCCCACUAAACAUCUUUAAGUGGGUGCUAUGAUUCUCUGCGCAGACUCUUCCUGCAGGACUGGAGGACAUGUUCCCUGAGCUGCUAGGAGUAUUGGUCUCAACAGUUUUCAGCUAAGUCACUCUUCAAAGCUUGGCUUUAAUGAAGAAAACUGCCUUGCCCAAGGUCAUUCCCCCUUCUAGGGGGCAGCCCACACUUGACAAUUAAUCCAUUUAGGAUAUAGAGGCCUCUCCGUUGUUCCAGUUUAGGACAACUCUGAAGGACCAUUCCAUAUUCAAAACUCCCAGUAUUAGUUAAAUACUGAUGUGUAGCAAAUUACUCCAAUCUGUAGUAGCUUUAAAUAACAAACGUCUCAUUAUGUCUGCGAGUUGGGAACUCAGGAGCAGCUUCCCUGGGUGUUCCUGGCUCAAGGUGUCAGAUUCUUGCAGUUGUCUGAAGGCCUGUUGUCGGCUGGAAGAUCCAGUUCCAAGAUGGCUCCCUCACAUGGCUGAGGUUGGGAGCACUCACUUCCACUCCACAGGCUGCUUGAGAAGCCUCACAGUAUGGCAGCUAGCUUCUCCCAGACCAGUCAAUCAAGAGAGAGUGCAAUUAGGGAGCUGCAAUGCCCUGUGAGGCCAAGUAUCUGAAGGACAUCUACUUUUCUUCUCUUCAUCAGAAGACAGUCACUAAAUCCCACUAAUUCCAUUUGGGAAGGGGAAUUUAGCUCUACCUAUGGAAGGGAGGGUCAAAGAAUUUGAGGACAUAUUUUAAACCACUACGCUCCGCAUUGAAUCCUGCUUCCUACACCCAAACCCUGUGCGCCUGUUGAUCCUGAGAGCAUCUCCCCAAUAAACUUCCUGCAUGUUAAAUCUCCAUCUCGUAUUCUGCCUUCUGGCAACCUAACCUCAACAAUCCAGUUAUGCUAGUUUCAUAAUAACCCUCAUAAUAACCCUCAAGACACUCUUGUGAUACAGGAAAAAUUACUAUUUCCUCACCUUACAAAAGGGAAGACAGGCACAGAAAGAUUAAUGUACUUGCCCAAGGUCAUAGAGCAACUAAGUGGCAGCCACCAAUUCUGACUCCAGAGUUCAUAUAGGCAAUUGCUGAUCAAUGCGCUACAUACAUGCACACAACAAACGCCUGGGUGCAUAACAAUGGGGGGCUCAUGAUCUUAAUCAAAAGACUGGACAAAAGACUGCCAAUCAAAUGGGAAAAUCCAGCAGAGGUGCAAUGUCAUAGUCAAAGGCAAUCUUAAAGAGAGGAAUGGGGGGUCAUUGUAUCAACUGAUGGUGAAGAUAGAAUAUUAAAACUAUUGCAGAAUAGUAUAAUGCUUUAGUUUGCUACGGCUGCCACAACGAAGUACCACAAACUGGGUGGCUUCAAACAACAGAAAUUUAUUCUUUCACUCUUCUGGAGGCUGCAAGUUCAAAAUCAAGAUGUCAGCAGGGUUGUUCUUCUGAGGACGGUGAGGAAAGAAUCUGUUCCAGUUCUCUCUCCUUGGCUUUUAGGUGGCCCUCUUAUGUCUCCUCACUCUAUCUUUAAAAAAUGUGUCUUCAUGGCUGGGCACAGUGGCUCACACCUGUAAUCCCAGCACUUUGGGAGGUCAAGGCAGGAGGAUCCCUUGAGCCCAGGAGUUCGAGACUAGCCUGGGCAACAUGGCGAAACCCCCCAUCUCUACAAAAAUAUAAAAAUUAGCUGGAUGUGGUGACGCAUGCCUGUAGUCCCAGCUACUUGGGAAGCUGAGGUGGGAGGAUCGCUUGAGCCUGGGAGGCAGAGGUUGCAGUGAGCCAAGAUCAUGUCACUGCACUCUGGCCUGGGCGACAGAGCGAGACCCUGUCUCAAAAAAUAAAAUAAAAUGUAUCUUCAUGUUCACGUGAUGUUCUUUCUGUAUCAAUGUCUGACUCCAAACUUGCCCUUUUUCUAAAUACACCAGUCAUCUUGUAUUAAGGUCCACUAAUGACCCCCUUUUAACUUGAUUACCUUUGUAAAGACCCUACUUCCAAAUACCGUCACAUUCUGAAGUACCAAGGGCUAGGACCUUAAUUUGGCAGGGAAACAAUUCAACCCAGAACACCAUCCUCAUAGAUGGGAUUAGUGCCCUAUAAAAGGAAUGGAAGGGAGCUAGCUAGUCCUUUUGCCCUUCUGUCCCUUCUGCCAAGAGAGGACAUGGCAUUUGUCCCUUCUGGAGGACUCAGCAUUCAAGGCGCCAUCUUGGAAGCAGAGUGGAACCAGACACAACGUGCUGGUACCUUGUUCUUAAACUUCCCAGUCUUCGGAACUAUGAGAAAUGAACUUCUAUUGUUUAGAAAUUACCCACUCUGUGGUAUUUUGUUAUAACAGCAUGAAUGGACUGAGACAAUUGCAUGUAUGGCCACUAAGAACAUCUCAAUGUUGAUUAUGUACAAGUUUGAUUAAGGAUGUCCUGGAUACCUUAACUACCACAACUUACACCACUUGGCAGUUAAGACACACUUUCUCAAAUAACAAAAUGUGAAGCAUUCUUUGUAAACAAACACAUAAAAAUACAAUAUUUGUUUUUUAUAAACAAUAUAUAUGAAAUUUAU
RNAcentral lists this long non-coding RNA (5063 nucleotides) under Homo sapiens (human). RNAcentral describes it as "non-protein coding lnc-TTC3-5:4". The stretch from base 4194 to 4341 matches the Rfam family "Metazoan signal recognition particle RNA". Lineage: Eukaryota; Metazoa; Chordata; Mammalia; Primates; Hominidae. The record is from RNAcentral.